RNAcentral lists this ribosomal RNA (1506 nucleotides) under metagenome. Its description in RNAcentral is "bacterial SSU rRNA". It matches the Rfam family "Bacterial small subunit ribosomal RNA". The record is from RNAcentral.
AGAGUUUGAUUCUGGCUCAGAUUGAACACUGGCGGCACGCCUAACACAUGCAAGUCGAACGGUUUGUUUUUAGUUUACUAGAAACGAAUAGUGGCGGACGGGUGAGUAACGCGUAGGUAUCUACCGCAGAGAGGGGGACAACUCGGGGAAACUCGAGCUAAUACCGCAUAAAGUCUGAGGACAAAAGGUGGCGUUAUGCUUGCAUAAGCUAUCACUUUGCGAUGAGCCUACGUCGGAUUAGCUAGUUGGUAGGGUAAAGGCCUACCAAGGCGACGAUCCGUAGCUGGUUUGAGAGAAUGAUCAGCCACACUGGGACUGAGACACGGCCCAGACUCCUACGGGAGGCAGCAGUGGGGAAUAUUGGACAAUGGGGGCAACCCUGAUCCAGCGAUGCCGCGUGUGUGAAGAAGGCCUGCGGGUUGUAAAGCACUUUAGUUAGGGAGGAGAUUGUAGAUGUGAAUAAUGUCUGCAUGAGACGUUACCUAAAGAAUAAGCACCGGCUAACUCUGUGCCAGCAGCCGCGGUAAUACAGAGGGUGCGAGCGUUAAUCGGAGUUACUGGGCGUAAAGAGUACGUAGGCGGUUAAUUAAGUCAGUUGUGAAAUCCCAGGGCUCAACCUUGGAACUGCAAUUGAAACUGAUUGACUAGAGUCGAAGAGAGGGGAGCGGAAUUUCCGGUGUAGCGGUGAAAUGCGUAGAUAUCGGAAGGAACACCAGUGGCGAAGGCGGCUCUCUGGCUUCAGACUGACGCUGAGGUACGAAAGCGUGGGUAGCGAACAGGAUUAGAUACCCUGGUAGUCCACGCUGUAAACGAUGAGUACUAGCUGUUGGAAAGCUUAGCUUUUCAGUAGCGGAGCAAACGCAUUAAGUACUCCGCCUGGGGAUUACGGCCGCAAGGCUAAAACUCAAAGAAAUUGACGGGGGCCCGCACAAGCGGUGGAGCAUGUGGUUUAAUUCGAUGCAACGCGAAAAACCUUACCUACCCUUGACAUCCUGGGAAUCUUAUAGAGAUAUGAGAGUGCCUUCGGGAAUCCAGAGACAGGUGCUGCAUGGCUGUCGUCAGCUCGUGUCGUGAGAUGUUGGGCUAAGUCCCGUAACGAGCGCAACCCUUGUGCCUAGUUGCCAGCAUUUAGUUGGGGACUCUAGGCAGACUGCCGGUGACAAACCGGAGGAAGGUGGGGAUGACGUCAAGUCCUCAUGGCCCUUAUGGGUAGGGCUACACACGUGCUACAAUGGGCAGAACAAAGGGAAGCGAAGCCGUGAGGCGUAGCGGAUCUCCUAAAACUGUUCGUAGUCCGGAUAGAAGUCUGCAACUCGACUUCUUGAAGUCGGAAUCGCUAGUAAUCGCGGAUCAGCAUGCCGCGGUGAAUACGUUCCCGGGCCUUGUACACACCGCCCGUCACACCAUGGGAGUGGGUUGUACCAGAAGUAGCUAGUCUAACCUGACUUGUUAGGAGGACGGUUACCACGGUAUGAUUCAUGACUGGGGUGAAGUCGAAACAAGGUA